Ornithodoros turicata is the source of this 171-nucleotide long non-coding RNA. RefSeq lists it as uncharacterized. The record is from RefSeq and is a predicted model, not a curated record. NCBI's taxonomy places the organism in Eukaryota, Metazoa, Arthropoda, Arachnida, Ixodida, Argasidae. The transcript has 3 exons.
AUUGGAGUCACUUAAGUGGUCCUGAUCACCGGCAGGCUGGACACAACGACUGAGGGACGAAGAUAACGAACUUUGCGCUUCAUGCACGAACGUUGAUGCGUGUAUUAGAGAAGCCUACAUUGCACUUUAUACCUGGAUUACACAAGCAAGUUACGUCCUGGCGAUGUCGUA